UUGAAUAAAUUGGUUAGGUUGUUGCUGGUUCCUAGGAGCAUGUGCACGCCUAUGCCUCUUUCAACCACCUGUGCACUCUGUGUAGAUCUUUUGGGUACUUGAGGACUGCCACUUGUGGCCGUUCUCGUAUCUACUAGAUCUAUGUUUUAUAUAUCAUACCCCGAAUGUAUUAGAAGGUUGUCAAAUAGGCCUUACGUGCCAUUAACAAGAUAUAAA
Molecule: unclassified non-coding RNA, 216 nt
Filed under: uncultured fungus
Lineage: Eukaryota; Fungi
Description: sequence contains ITS1
Source: RNAcentral